RNAcentral lists this ribosomal RNA (261 nucleotides) under uncultured bacterium. Its description in RNAcentral is "partial 16S ribosomal RNA". It matches the Rfam family "Bacterial small subunit ribosomal RNA", at positions 92 to 354 of the family's 1533-position model. The record is from RNAcentral.
CGACCGGCGCACGGGUGAGUAACACGUAUCCAACCUGCCGAUGACUCGGGGAUAGCCUUUCGAAAGAAAGAUUAAUACCCGAUGGCAUAGUUCUUCCGCAUGGUAGAACUAUUAAAGAAUUUCGGUCAUCGAUGGGGAUGCGUUCCAUUAGCUUGUUGGCGGGGUAACGGCCCACCAAGGCAUCGAUGGAUAGGGGCUCUGAGAGGAAGGUCCCCCACAUUGGAACUGAGACACGGUCCAAACUCCUACGGGAGGCAGCAG